GUGCACCAGUCGCGAAAACUUUACAAUGCUGGCAACAGCGAUAAGGGAACCUCGAGUGCCAGGUUACAAAUCUGGCUGUCGAGAUGCCUAAAAAGCAUUUCAUAGCAAGGGCCGGGCAAGACCGGUGCCAGCCGCCGCGGUAACACCGGCGGCUCGAGUGGUAACCGUUAUUAUUGGGUCUAAAGGGUCUGUAGCCGGCCGGAUAAGUCUCUUGAGAAAUCUGGCAGCUUAACUGUCAGGCUUUCAGGAGAUACUGUCUGGCUCGAGGCCGGGAGAGGUGAGAGGUACUUCAGGGGUAGGGGUGAGAUCUUGUAAUCCUUGAAGGACCACCAGUGGCGAAGGCGUCUCACCAGAACGGACCUGACGGCAAGGGACGAAAGCUAGGGGCACGAACCGGAUUAGAUACCCCCGUAGUCC
This 417-nucleotide ribosomal RNA is filed under the name uncultured archaeon. RNAcentral describes it as "bacterial SSU rRNA". It matches the Rfam family "Archaeal small subunit ribosomal RNA", at positions 330 to 747 of the family's 1478-position model. The record is from RNAcentral.